CAAGGAAUAGUUUAUAGAGAAUCCCAGCUU
This 30-nucleotide transfer RNA is filed under the name Inia geoffrensis (Amazon river dolphin). RNAcentral describes it as "partial tRNA-Pro". Lineage: Eukaryota; Metazoa; Chordata; Mammalia; Artiodactyla; Iniidae. The record is from RNAcentral. RNAcentral also lists the same sequence under 1 other name.